This 328-nucleotide small nuclear RNA is filed under the name Coturnix japonica (Japanese quail). RNAcentral describes it as "7SK RNA (ENSCJPG00005004655.1)". It matches the Rfam family "7SK RNA". Rfam says of the family: 7SK was discovered as an abundant small nuclear RNA in the mid-70s but a possible function has only recently been suggested. The record is from Rfam by way of RNAcentral. Lineage: Eukaryota; Metazoa; Chordata; Aves; Galliformes; Phasianidae.
GGAUGUGAGGGCGAUCUGGCUGCGACAUCUGUCACCCCAUUGAUCGCCAGGGUUGAUUCGGCUGAUCUGGCUGGCUAGGCGGGUGUCCCCUUCCUCCCUCACCGCUCCAUGUGCAUCCCUCCCGAAGCUGCGCACUCGGUCGAAGAGGACGACCUUCCCCGAUAGAGACGGUACCGUUCAUCGGUCAAGGGUAUACGGUAGCUGCGCUCCCCUGCUAGAACCUCCAAACAAGCUCAAGGUCCAUUUGUAGGAGAACGUAGGGUAGUCAAGCUUCCAAGACUGCAGACACAUCCAAGUGAGGCACUGCAUGGGGUAAAGGUGUAUGUUU